CAAAAAUCUCCGCGCGGACGCGCGAUUCAAACUAACCCGGCUACUCUUCUCUCUCGUAUCCCAUAGAAAAAAAAGAAUGAAGAAGAAAGCGGUUGGUUGCAAAACUUCUGACCGGAUUCUUUGAGUUUUGCUCAGAGAAAAAAGAAGCGAGAGUUUGGAUUCCGUCCUACGAAGAGGAAAUCGUUGGUUACUAUCUCCAUCACAAAAUUUUGAGAAGCAAUAUAAUCUCGUCGAUGGAGUCAACACUCAACAGAGAGAUCAACAUCUGCAGCUUAGAUCCUUGGGAUUUUCCUUAGAAAUCAAGUACGGAAACGGGAAUCACCAAAACAGGAGCAAGGAUUAGUGAAGACAUUUGUCUGGAUUUUGAGGUUGUAUUGGUCAUAAAAGAGUUUUGGUGUUCUUGAGGGAGUCAAGCGACAUCUCCUCUAACCAAAUCAAAUCAGAGUGGGUGAUGCACGAACUUCACUACACCCUCUUGCCUAAAAAUAGAGGACCUAUAGCCAGUAGGGCAAGCUCUGUGGUGGAUGUCCAGUGAUGAAAUGAAAAAAUGGUUAUCCACGAGAUGGUUCCACGUCCACGAGUUCAAGAUCUAAAAUAAAAAGAAAAAAACUGAAGAAAAGUCAAAAGAGAAAUAAAAAAAAAAGUAAUUGAUGGAAGAGGGAAAAAGGAAGAUUUUUUUAUUGUUUUGUACUUUGUCUAAAUGUAUGAAAAAAAAAGUGGAUGACAAAAAAAAAGAACUAGUCUAAGUGUAACUUAAAUUUUGGAUGUUUGAUGUUUGUUGUUUAGAACAUCUUGGUUUAGAAUAUUAGUUAUUAGUAUGUAGAAAAAAAUAUUUGGUAA
Long non-coding RNA from Raphanus sativus (radish), 840 nucleotides. RefSeq lists it as uncharacterized. The record is from RefSeq and is a predicted model, not a curated record. NCBI's taxonomy places the organism in Eukaryota, Viridiplantae, Streptophyta, Magnoliopsida, Brassicales, Brassicaceae. The transcript has 4 exons.